This is a long non-coding RNA of Helianthus annuus (common sunflower), 152 nucleotides long. RefSeq lists it as uncharacterized. The transcript is spliced from 3 exons. The record is from RefSeq and is a predicted model, not a curated record. Lineage: Eukaryota; Viridiplantae; Streptophyta; Magnoliopsida; Asterales; Asteraceae.
ACCAAGUCAAGGGGAUCGUAAGUUUGACGAUUAACAAGCUAGGUGAAAGCUUGGGAACGAAGCGGGUCAAACGAAGCAAGAAUGACGGAAAAGCAUAAUUUGGAAGUAAGGUGAUCGCCAAGAGUGCCCGGAUGAAGAUCAAGCUCGAUGAG